UUUAAGCUGCGACUGUGCAACCAAUUUCAAAACUCAUUACUAGAUAUCGCCAGUGUUGCCUUUGUUGUUGUUACGUCGUUAAACGAGGCAAAAAUGGCGAAACAAAUUGUAGCUAAUUAAUACUUAUAUUCCUCAGAUUUCAUAUACCAAAUUGAACUUCGUAUUAUAAAUGCAUACUGUCAGUCAUUCCUAAAGUUGACUUAGCGCUCAGUCACUUUCCCUCCAAUAGACCCAUCAUGUUGUCAAAAGCCUAAAACUCAUGUGUGAAGCUCACAUAUCGUGGAGUACAAAUGUGUGGAGACAAGAUAUUUCUCCGUUACUGCUACCACACCAACCACGUCAAAUGCCUUACUAAAUUCAGCACCAUUCACCCAUAUGAUAAAGUAUCAGAAAAUUUACCUCAACUUAAGGAGUAAGGCUGUUGGUUGCUGUGAUUUCCAUUUUUGUGGUUUUUUAUCAUGAAAAUCUUCAGUAUGCUUCUUAGUAUAGAGCACGUAAUAGAUCCUUAAGCCAAUGCUGACCUUUGUCCAUGAAGGAAGAGGGACAUCCAGCAACGUUCUGCUCCAUCCUUAUCUUCCCGACGUACGCUCAUCUAGCUUCACUGCUUUUGCUGCUACAACUUGUCUUACUUCACCGACGAGUUGGAACACUUAGUGGUCGCUACCCUUUGCUGUUACACACCUGCAGUUACUCACCACGGUUAUGCCCAGGUAAUGCAGAAGAGACGUCGAGAAGAUGGACAUCAAAACAUCGCCGG
RNAcentral lists this long non-coding RNA (757 nucleotides) under Daphnia pulicaria. RNAcentral describes it as "uncharacterized LOC124326705". The record is from RNAcentral. Lineage: Eukaryota; Metazoa; Arthropoda; Branchiopoda; Diplostraca; Daphniidae.